RNAcentral lists this ribosomal RNA (262 nucleotides) under uncultured prokaryote. Its description in RNAcentral is "partial 16S ribosomal RNA". It matches the Rfam family "Bacterial small subunit ribosomal RNA", at positions 524 to 784 of the family's 1533-position model. The record is from RNAcentral.
UACGUAGGGUGCGAGCGUUGUCCGGAAUUACUGGGCGUAAAGAGCUCGUAGGUGGUUUGUCACGUCGUCUGUGAAAUUCCGGGGCUUAACCUCGGGCGUGCAGGCGAUACGGGCAAUACUUGAGUGCUGUAGGGGAGACUGGAAUUCCUGGUGUAGCGGUGAAAUGCGCAGAUAUCAGGAGGAACACCGAUGGCGAAGGCAGGUAUCUGGGCAGUAACUGACGCUGAGGAGCGAAAGCAUGGGUAGCGAACAGGAUUAGAUA